This 301-nucleotide ribosomal RNA is filed under the name uncultured bacterium. RNAcentral's name for it is "partial 16S ribosomal RNA". It matches the Rfam family "Bacterial small subunit ribosomal RNA", at positions 509 to 807 of the family's 1533-position model. The record is from RNAcentral.
CAGUCGCCGCGGGAAUACGGAGGGUGCAAGCGUUAAUCGGAAUUACUGGGCGUAAAGCGCACGCAGGCGGUCUGACAAGUCAGAUGUGAAAUCCCCGGGCUUAACCUGGGAACUGCAUUUGAAACUGUCAGGCUGGAGUCUUGUAGAGGGGGGUGGAAUUCCAGGUGUAGCGGUGAAAUGCGUAGAGAUCUGGAGGAAUACCGGUGGCGAAGGCGGCCCCCUGGACAAAGACUGACGCUCAGGUGCGAAAGCGUGGGGAGCAAACAGGAUUAGAUACCCCAGUAGUCCCUGUCUCUUAAAC